Molecule: long non-coding RNA, 523 nt
Organism: Mus pahari (shrew mouse)
Lineage: Eukaryota; Metazoa; Chordata; Mammalia; Rodentia; Muridae
Exons: 4
Source: RefSeq, a predicted model, not a curated record
GGGACAAAGCAACCUAAAACCAUGAUUCUAUACACAGCUGCAUACCUUCUCUUCUGAAAGUUGUAUCAGUUCAUCUCAAGCUCCAGAGCUUGAUUUAUUAGCAUCCUGGACACACCACCACCACAUCAGGAGUGUACCACAGAGGAAAAACCUCAUGUUAGUUACUUGAUCUAAUUUUGUUUCUAUUUAUUCAAGAUAAUGGUCUUUGGAUCUGUUCACAUCUGGCACAGAUGAGGCUUCUCUGAUGAUCACUGGAUAAAGGACUGAUCUGUGUUAAAGCACUUACCUUGAUGUACUUUUGCACACCAUUUGGGUGCUAUGGCUUCAGGGGCAAGAAGAGGAUAAAUGAGAUUCCUCCUGACUUCUGACAGGAGUUAGAGAUGAUUUCAAGCUGCCCCCUGGGUAAUGGAAGAGAACCCAAUAUUUUCAGUGACUAAGCCAUGCAUCUAGCAUUGAGAACUUGGACUUUUAAAGUGUUGAGGUUUUUGUUGUUGUUGUUGUUGUUGUUGUUGUUGUUGUUGUU